RNAcentral lists this ribosomal RNA (254 nucleotides) under uncultured bacterium. RNAcentral describes it as "partial 16S ribosomal RNA". It matches the Rfam family "Bacterial small subunit ribosomal RNA", at positions 524 to 776 of the family's 1533-position model. The record is from RNAcentral.
UACGUAGGGGGCAAGCGUUGUCCGGAUUUAUUGGGCGUAAAGAGCUCGUAGGUGGUUUGGUAAGUCGGAUGUGAAAUCUCCAGGCUCAACCUGGAGGGGUCAUUCGAUACUGCCAUGACUAGAGGUCGGUAGGGGAGUGUGGAAUUCCUGGUGGAGCGGUGAAAUGCGCAGAUAUCAGGAGGAACACCUGUGGCGAAAGCGGCUCACUGGACCAUAACUGACGCUGAUGCACGAAAGCUAGGGGAGCAAACAGG